UGAUGACAUUCUCCGGAAUCGCUGCAUCGCCGUGAUGAAAGCGCUUUUGAACCCUUUUCCAUCUGACGGCUGGGCUCGC
RNAcentral lists this small nucleolar RNA (79 nucleotides) under Catagonus wagneri (Chacoan peccary). RNAcentral describes it as "Small nucleolar RNA MBII-202 (ENSCWAG00000011568.1)". It matches the Rfam family "Small nucleolar RNA MBII-202". Rfam says of the family: MBII-202 is a member of the C/D class of snoRNA which contain the C (UGAUGA) and D (CUGA) box motifs. Most of the members of the box C/D family function in directing site-specific 2'-O-methylation of substrate RNAs. Lineage: Eukaryota; Metazoa; Chordata; Mammalia; Artiodactyla; Tayassuidae. The record is from RNAcentral.